GAUGAACGCUGGCGGCAUGCUUAAUACAUGCAAGUCGGGCGAGCAGACGAGCUUCUUGCGCCGCUGACGUUAGCAGCGCACGGGUGCCUACCACGUGGAUAGCCUACCUAUCUGAAUGGGAUAACUUCGAGAAACCGGACCUAAUAGCGGAAAAUAUAUUCAACCGCAUGGUUCCCUAGCGCCUGACGGUUUUGCUGUUGCGUAUAGAUGGAUCCGCGCCGCAUUAGCUAGUCGGUAAGGUAACGGCUUACCAAGGCAACGAUGCGUAGCCGACCUGAGAGGGUGAUCGGCCACACUCGGACUGAAACACGGUCCAGACUCCGACGGGAGGCAGCAGUAGGCAAUCUCGCGCAACGGGCGAGGGGAUGACGCAGCAACGCGGCGUGUGUGAUGAAGGUAUUCCGGCCGGAAAACUCUGUGAUUAGGGAAGAACAAAUGUGUAACCCACGAUGCACGCAUUGACGGUACCUAGUCAAAAAGCCACGGCUAACUCCGUG
Molecule: ribosomal RNA, 497 nt
Filed under: uncultured bacterium
Lineage: Bacteria
Description: partial 16S ribosomal RNA
Rfam family: Bacterial small subunit ribosomal RNA
Source: RNAcentral